This 466-nucleotide ribosomal RNA is filed under the name uncultured bacterium. Its description in RNAcentral is "partial 16S ribosomal RNA". It matches the Rfam family "Bacterial small subunit ribosomal RNA", at positions 28 to 507 of the family's 1533-position model. The record is from RNAcentral.
GAUGAACGCUGGCGGCGUGCUUAACACAUGCAAGUCGAACGAUGAAGCCCAGCUUGCUGGGUGGAUUAGUGGCGAACGGGUGAGUAACACGUGAGUAACCUGCCCUUGACUCUGGGAUAAGCCCGGGAAACUGGGUCUAAUACCGGAUAGGAGCGCCUGUCGCAUGACGGGUGUUGGAAAGAUUUUUCGGUCAUGGAUGGACUCGCGGCCUAUCAGCUUGUUGGUGAGGUAAUGGCUCACCAAGGCGACGACGGGUAGCCGGCCUGAGAGGGUGACCGGCCACACUGGGACUGAGACACGGCCCAGACUCCUACGGGAGGCAGCAGUGGGGAAUAUUGCACAAUGGGCGGAAGCCUGAUGCAGCGACGCCGCGUGAGGGAUGAAGGCCUUCGGGUUGUAAACCUCUUUCAGUAGGGAAGAAGCGAAAGUGACGGUACCUGCAGAAGAAGCACCGGCUAACUACGUG